Erinaceus europaeus (western European hedgehog) is the source of this 435-nucleotide long non-coding RNA. RefSeq lists it as uncharacterized. The record is from RefSeq and is a predicted model, not a curated record. The transcript is spliced from 3 exons. NCBI's taxonomy places the organism in Eukaryota, Metazoa, Chordata, Mammalia, Eulipotyphla, Erinaceidae.
ACCCCGUGCUCCAGGACAGAAAGAAGGAUCCCAAAGAAGGAACUGAGGCUCCGAGGAAGGUGAGAAAUAUGGACUCAGAAUGAUUCAGAAAUCUGCCUAGGAGCCCGCAGUGAUGGGCUGAUGGGCAGGGCAGAGCUGAUGGACUGAAGGCAGAGGAGGAGGUAGAGGAGGAAGAGAGAGAGAAGGAGGACCCUGAAGAGAAAGAGGGUGACAGGUCUGCAGAGACAGGAACCCUGUUCCCAGCCCUGGGAGUCCCCAUGGAGAAGCCCAGAGCCUCAGUCUCCCCUGAACCUCAGCCUGGGCUCAAAUCACAGACCUUUUCAGCCCAGGGCCUGGUCCAGGGUCACUGGCCCCUUCUCCCCACCAGACACAGGAGCAGGAGGGAAUCAUGACAGGACUGUACCCCAAGGCCACAACAAAUGCCCCCUUUUUGCU